Arvicanthis niloticus (Nile rat) is the source of this 206-nucleotide non-coding RNA. The record is from RefSeq and is a predicted model, not a curated record. Lineage: Eukaryota; Metazoa; Chordata; Mammalia; Rodentia; Muridae.
AAGACUAUACUCUCAGGGAUCAUUUCUAUAGUUCUUUACUAGAGAAGUUUCUCUGACUGUGUAGAGCUGUAAUGUAGAUCUGUAAUGUCCCCUCCUGGGCGUGAAGCCAGCUCUAUGUGUUGCUUCAGUGCAGCUGCCUUCACCCAUUGAUGAUCUUUCUUCUGUCCUUCGGGAGGACGAGAGGGAGGGAACACAGUCUGAGUGGA